AUUGUGGCCCUGAAUGGCCUAGAAUUUGCUAUGUAGACAAGGCUGAUCUCAAACAGAGACCUGCAUCUGUCUGCCAAGUGCUGGGAUUCAAGAUCAAACUUGACAGUGGGCCCAGGGCCUUGAGCAGUCAAGCUUCCCUUCCUGAGUACAGGCCCUCUUGGGCCCCUCCCUGGAUCCCUGUGCUGGCUCUGCCUUGCAUAGGAAUCAUUGACAACAGUUCGCAGCAGUCUGGCUUCACCUUUGGAUCACUGCCCUUCUGCCAUGGUGGCCUCUUCGCAAGAUCAACCCGCUUCAUCUGGUCUUCGAGCUCUAAAUGGUCUCCCCCGCUGUCAUCUCCAAGACCCUGAGGUUUCAGCACCACACCCAACUGCAUGGAGCCUGCUCUACGCAGGCCUCCCUGUAGGCUCACCACAGCCUCUUCCCUUCGCAGCCACAGCUGUGGUCUCUCGCUCUCAGCACCAAAGAUAUUAAGAUGGGCAUCCUGUAACCCACUGCAGAACUGCUCCCCAGAACCAGCAUCCCCGGAUGCUCCCCACUUGCUCAAAGUCCUCAGUGAUGGCGAUGCACACUAGGACCAUAGCAUCCUGAGGGGCGAUUAGAUGGGCCCUGAGCUCUGUCCCUUGGGAAACAAAAAUGGCCUUCAGAGCUGAGCCCAGGGCAGCUUCCUCUCAGAAGCCCUGAGCUGUGGUAUUAGGAAACUGAGACUCCCUCUGCCCUGGGCAGCUUUCCUGAGGCUUGGGGACCAGCUGGCAUGGAUCCCACACUUCUGCUUGCUCUGUGUGUGUGUGUGUGUGUCUGUGUGUGUCCCCAGCUUGUUUGCGUCUCAGGCUUCCACUGUCUCUGCUGACAGCACAACCUGUAACGACAUUUUGCUGGGGUUCGCUGCAUACAUUAGGCUGGGAGUUGGGGUAACAACUGUCAAUCACCCCAUCACCCUGACCGGUUCAGGGUCCAGAAGCAGGAAAAACACAACAGCCUACCCAGGAGCGCCUUCCAGUUCCUGCCCAAAGCUUGCCUUUCAAGACGAGCUGUAACAAGCCUGGGUUCCUAUCUCCCACCUGCUACAGAAGGAACCUCAGGUCAGGAGGGUGCAGAGGGUCCUGAGCCAGGCACCUUGGCAAGGGAGGAGACACAGAAGUCCCCGUAAAUACUUCAGUCUCUGGACCAGGCCGGGUGGGGGCGGCUCUGCAUGUCCAUGGUGUCUGAGAAGGACGGACCACCCCCAGGAAAGCAGAUGAAAAGGACACAAGCAGGUCAGAAGCCAGAGCAGCUGGGACCUCAGAAAGCUCCACCCAGCUGGCCCAAAGCACUGCAUUGCGGGCAGAAAACACUGGCCCCUGGCAUCUCAGUUCUGAAUGGGUACAAACUUUGGCUUAUUUUAGAACUUUAUUGCUUUUCCUGAUUACAUGGUAAAUGUAAAAAUCCAAAUAUUAUAAAAUAUAUGACCUUAAAAAACAUGAAAUGUUACAAAAUGCUUAUCCAAAAGAAUCAAGUAUUAAUAAAAUACACGAUAUAGGACAUUAGUAUUGGGAGACCCAAUCCCACCCUGCUGGGUCCCCCCAGAUCACUGUGUUCAAUUUGGUGUCUCCUCAGACUGUGCCCAAGCCAACACAUUCACCAAACCAAAAGCCAAGCAUGGCAUGGCUGCACACCUGUCAUUCCGACUUGGGAGAAUAAGGCAGAAGGAUCCUGAGUUUAAGGCCUGCCUGGGCUACAAAGCAGGACUCCACGUCAAAACCCACAGACAGCCCAAGGCACUGUACAUUGUAUAGCUGAGCUACUGUAUGUUCAAUAGUUCCCAUUUCUGUACCAGAAUGCCUAACUCACAACGGCUCAUGCAAUAACUGCAUGUCUACAUGUAAGGCAUGUGUUAUGAAAAGGACAGCCACCAUCUUAAAACUACUAUAAAACUACUAAAAACAGUAGUUUCUCUUGGCUCCACAUAGUGCCACAGCCUACUGUUCCCACUGAGAGGCAUUUGGAAGAUCACCACUCUGCAGUUUUAAACAAUUCAGUAGCAAGCCUUUCGCGUUAGGAACUACAAGCAUUUCACCCCAGAAGCACCAGUUUUUGAAGAGUUGAUAGAGCUGCCAUGGAGAUCAACAGGGA
Molecule: long non-coding RNA, 2109 nt
Organism: Nannospalax galili (Upper Galilee mountains blind mole rat)
Lineage: Eukaryota; Metazoa; Chordata; Mammalia; Rodentia; Spalacidae
Exons: 2
Source: RefSeq, a predicted model, not a curated record